GUCGGUAAGGAUUAAAAGGGAAUCGGGUGUGAAUCCCGAACAGUUCCCGCUGCUGUAAGCUCUUUAACCUCGCAUGCGCGAGGCCGUUCGGCACUCUUGCGGCCACUGAUUUUCUAAUCGGGAAGGCCGGCCGUAACGGGAGACGAGUCAGAAGACCUGCCUUUUGCGUU
Molecule: non-coding RNA, 170 nt
Filed under: uncultured Alistipes sp.
Lineage: Bacteria; Pseudomonadati; Bacteroidota; Bacteroidia; Bacteroidales; Rikenellaceae
Source: RNAcentral